CUCAACAAGCUUGAAAACGGGUCGAUCCCGUGCAUAUUUGUCGGCUACUCUUUGUUGCAAAGUACAUAUCUAUGCCUCGAUCCAAAUUAAAACCGUGUUUACAUCAUGCCAUGUCAGGUUUAAUGAGAUAACCUUCCCCUACCAUCAUCUAAACCAACCAUCUCCACCACCACCAACUGAAACCUCACACCAAACCUCAACCUAUUAACCACACACAAACAUACACCCGACACCAUUAAUCGUACAGCCGCUCCCGUUAGUUGGGAACAGCCUGGCCACGAGCUCUGAGUCUUCACCAACGGAUGAGCAUGCAACAACAACACCGCACAAUGAGGCAACUGUUAAUACAAACAC
RNAcentral lists this long non-coding RNA (354 nucleotides) under Brassica napus (rape). Its description in RNAcentral is "long non-coding RNA (BNAP_LNC003986)". The record is from RNAcentral. Lineage: Eukaryota; Viridiplantae; Streptophyta; Magnoliopsida; Brassicales; Brassicaceae.